GCGGAACUUGGGGACUGGCAAAACAGUCAGGAAUUCAGGACACAGAAAUGAAUUUGAGGAACAGGAAUCCUAGACAACUGUAGGAACGGAAAGGGUUCGCCUUUUCCUGCCUACUGAUGUGGUCUGUGUGAAGGCAGUAUAUGACACUUGCCAAAGGCUAAGGACUCGUGCCGCACAGUAUAACUAGUCAUUGGAGUUCAGAAGCAAGGCAAAAGCCAAGAUGACUUCUGGUGAUUCAAGAUGCAGUGAAUGGCCUUGGCUUCUGUGGUGUCUAAACAAGAUCUAAGUGUUUGCUCUACAGCACUUGAUUCUGCCACCUUCAGGGAAGUUGGAACAAUAUUCUCAUUUGCCCUUUCCACAAGGGUCAGUCUUUAUAUGACUGGGAUAGAUAUUCUCCUAAAUGAUGGAUGUGUCUGAGGCCCGUCAGUUACUGUCAAUCUGGUUUAGCCUACAUGAUGAGGUGGUUUAUUGGAGUGUGGCUACUGCACAUACUACAGCUUCUUGGAAUCACAGCUAUUCAUCCAACGAUGUUAUGCUUCAUGGAUGGGAGGUACGGAAUAUCACAUUCUCUGAAGAAUCAAAACUUUGGGUGAUCCAACAGGCCACUGAACAUCAACAAAAGUUGGGCCCAUCAUACAACAAAAAGAAAAUGAUCUUUUUAAAAGAAGCUCUGGGAAAAUGAAGAAUGUAUUUAUAUUUUAUAAUUCUAUUUGGUAGUCACACAGGAUCUAUUAUGUUCAAUUUUGUAAAAAAUAUAUUUGUUUAGAACUGCCUAAUUCUAAAAUAGUUACAUUAAAGUUCCCAAAAUUAUUACUUUGCUUGUUAUUAUUUCCCAUCUAUUAAUUAUGCCUUUAGAUAUUUAUGUUAUGCCAUUUGAUAUAUGUUUAUAUAAAUUUUAUUUCACUUUGUAUUAUAUCAUUAAGAUUAAUCCAAUCUCCCUAGCUAUUUAAUUCAUAUUUUUAUUGUUGCUUUAGCUGAGACUAUGAUGGCCACUCAUGCUUUCAUUUAGCUUUAAUAAAUACUGUUCCAGUACUUU
RNAcentral lists this long non-coding RNA (1036 nucleotides) under Monodelphis domestica (gray short-tailed opossum). Its description in RNAcentral is "lncRNA (ENSMODG00000031707.2)". Lineage: Eukaryota; Metazoa; Chordata; Mammalia; Didelphimorphia; Didelphidae. The record is from RNAcentral.